UAGCGUUGUUCGGAAUUACUGGGCGUAAAGCGCGCGUAGGCGGCUUUGUAAGUUAGAGGUGAAAGCCCGGAGCUCAACCCCGGAACUGCCUUUAAAACUGCAUCGCUUGAAUCCAAGAGAGGUGAGUGGAAUUCCGAGUGUAGAGGUGAAAUUCGUAGAUAUUCGGAAGAACACCAGUGGCGAAGGCGGCUCACUGGACUGGUAUUGACGCUGAGGUGCGAAAGCGUGGGGAGCAAACAGG
Molecule: ribosomal RNA, 241 nt
Filed under: uncultured bacterium
Lineage: Bacteria
Description: partial 16S ribosomal RNA
Rfam family: Bacterial small subunit ribosomal RNA
Source: RNAcentral